UAUUCAUCCCAUGCGGGAAGGAUGAGAAGCUUCGACUAAGGUUCGAUUCGAGCGAAGCGAGAAAGCGUUGCCGCAGGCAACGACCCGAAGGGCGAGGAGCAACGCGCCGAGUAAUCCUUCCCCCACCACCA
RNAcentral lists this small RNA (131 nucleotides) under Klebsiella michiganensis. RNAcentral describes it as "RtT sRNA". It matches the Rfam family "RtT RNA". Rfam says of the family: This family represents a bacterial cis-regulatory element known as RtT RNA. Lineage: Bacteria; Pseudomonadati; Pseudomonadota; Gammaproteobacteria; Enterobacterales; Enterobacteriaceae. The record is from RNAcentral. RNAcentral also lists the same sequence under 1 other name.